AUUAACGCCCAUCGCUUCCCCCCUGGAGGUGCAUGGCCCCUACAGGUUUACCGUCUGGCCAUAAAUCACUAAAAUAAUUGAAGAAGUUGGCACUCCUGUAGAGGUGUGCACGUGCGCACUCAUGGAGAAAACCUCAGUGUUAAGGAAACUUUGUGGCAGGAAGAGUUAUUUACGUACAAAGUACAGCAUAACAUACAAAGUACAGCAUAACGUAUGUGGCAUGCAAAGAGUACGUAACCUUUAUUCGGCGCAUGUACACACCCUCAUUUACAGGCUACCUCCCCCAACCAGCGAACAAGGUUGCUGAGAGUUGAUGAUGGGGCCCCAUCGUUCAACUAGUGACCAGGUUCUAGCCAAUAAGAAGAUGGUUUUGGCAAUCGCAGAGGUUAUGUGGGUACCACUCUCCUGUCUGCCCUUGUCAUUCCCAUUCUAGAGCUGGUUGAAGCACGAUCUGCUGUCUUGUGGCUUCUAUUUCUGCCUUGCUUACCGUGGAGUGCACUAUACUUAUCUCUGUACAUAGUGUGGUAAGACUUCUACCAGAUUUGUGGUUUACAUGUGAGUACAGCCUCUCUUCAUUUAGCGAUGUACUCAUUUAUCGACGACUCGGAUUUACGACGAGCUCUCCGGCCAGUAUGCACACCUAAGUAAUCUGUAGUCUGGCAGUACAGUUAUCCAAAAUCUGGCAGUUGGUCCUCAUCAUCUCUAUGGAUCCUGUGCACAACAUCUCCGAUGCCUUUGACCAAAAGUUAUGCAUGGUUCCUAUUAGAGUCAAGAGGGUUUGACAACCUAUAUGCUAUGGUAAAGUUUGACAGCUAUUGUAUGGGGAGACUUGCCAGCAAUGUCUGAUUAAAAGUCACUAUGUUCAUAGCAAGGAUUAAUAAAUCCUGAAUCACUUUGAAGUAUUAAUGUAUACUUUUAAAAUUGUACCAUUGUUCAUUAAUCUACCUCUUGUUUUGUACAUUUAAGAAUGCCUGCUUAACCUGCAUCUAGUUCUUAAGUACUCUUUAAACAUUAAGGUUACUGUAUUAUACAGUAUGAAGGACCUCCCUCUUCCCUUCCCUCCCAUUCUGACUGGCUAAAUUUUGAAAAAAAGGAUAAAUGAUAUCCAUGGUAUAAAUUACUAUAUUGACAUGGAGAUGGGAAGUACAUUGCCUGCACUCUGAAGGAGGGGUGUUAAUGUUGCAGUUUAAAAAACAGUAGUGUAAAGCACCCUUCUGGCAAGACAGUGAUGGAAUGAAUGAUGGU
Molecule: non-coding RNA, 1245 nt
Organism: Cherax quadricarinatus
Lineage: Eukaryota; Metazoa; Arthropoda; Malacostraca; Decapoda; Parastacidae
Source: RefSeq, a predicted model, not a curated record